This 1011-nucleotide ribosomal RNA is filed under the name Prevotella intermedia. Its description in RNAcentral is "bacterial SSU rRNA". It matches the Rfam family "Bacterial small subunit ribosomal RNA", at positions 28 to 1026 of the family's 1533-position model. Lineage: Bacteria; Pseudomonadati; Bacteroidota; Bacteroidia; Bacteroidales; Prevotellaceae. The record is from RNAcentral.
GAUGAACGCUAGCUAUAGGCUUAACACAUGCAAGUCGGGGGGAAACGGCAUUAUGUGCUUGCACAUUUUGGACGUCGACCGGCGCACGGGUGAGUAUCGCGUAUCCAACCUUCCCUCCACUCGGGGAUACCCCGUUGAAAGACGGCCUAAUACCCGAUGUUGUCCACAUAUGGCAUCUGACGUGGACCAAAGAUUCAUCGGUGGAGGAUGGGGAUGCGUCUGAUUAGCUUGUUGGUGCGGGUAACGGCCCACCAAGGCUACGAUCAGUAGGGGUUCUGAGAGGAAGGUCCCCCACAUUGGAACUGAGACACGCUCCAAACUCCUACGGGAGGCAGCAGUGAGGAAUAUUGGUCAAUGGACGGAAGUCUGAACCAGCCAAGUAGCGUGCAGGAUUGACGGCCCUAUGGGUUGUAAACUGCUUUUGUUGGGGAGUAAAGUGAGGCACGCGUGCCUUUUUGCAUUUACCCUUCGAAUAAGGACCGGCUAAUUCCGUGCCAGCAGCCGCGGUAAUACGGAAGGUCCAGGCGUUAUCCGGAUUUAUUGGGUUUAAAGGGAGUGUAGGCGGUCUGUUAAGCGUGUUGUGAAAUUUAGGUGCUCAACAUCUACCUUGCAGCGCGAACUGGCGGACUUGAGUGCACGCAACGUAUGCGGAAUUCAUGGUGUAGCGGUGAAAUGCUUAGAUAUCAUGACGAACUCCGAUUGCGAAGGCAGCGUACGGGAGUGUUACUGACGCUUAAGCUCGAAGGUGCGGGUAUCGAACAGGAUUAGAUACCCUGGUAGUCCGCACGGUAAACGAUGGAUGCCCGCUGUUAGCGCCUGGCGUUAGCGGCUAAGCGAAAGCAUAAAGCAUCCCACCUGGGGAGUACGCCGGCAACGGCGAAACUCAAAGGAAUUGACGGGGGACCCGCACAAGCGGAGGAACAUGUGGUUUAAUCCGAUGAUACGCGAGGAACCUUACCCUGGGCUGAAUUUGCAGACGCAGGGAUACAGAGAUGUCGACUCCCUUCGGGG